RNAcentral lists this small nucleolar RNA (68 nucleotides) under Neogobius melanostomus (round goby). RNAcentral describes it as "Small nucleolar RNA U54 (ENSNMLG00000008030.1)". It matches the Rfam family "Small nucleolar RNA U54". The record is from Rfam by way of RNAcentral. Lineage: Eukaryota; Metazoa; Chordata; Actinopteri; Gobiiformes; Gobiidae.
UGAGCUAUGAGGAUAAACCUUUAAACAGAAAUUUAUCGUGGUGAAUUAUACGCUAUUCUGAGCCGUAA